This 2804-nucleotide ribosomal RNA is filed under the name Nippostrongylus brasiliensis. Its description in RNAcentral is "eukaryotic LSU rRNA". The stretch from base 4 to 2375 matches the Rfam family "Eukaryotic large subunit ribosomal RNA". Lineage: Eukaryota; Metazoa; Nematoda; Chromadorea; Rhabditida; Heligmosomidae. The record is from RNAcentral.
UUGCAACCUGAACUCAGGCGUGAUUACCCGCUGAACUUAAGCAUAUCAUUUAGCGGAGGAAAAGAAACUAACAAGGAUUCCCCUAGUAACGGCGAGUGAACGGGGAGAAGCCCAGCGCUGAAUCUUUCGGUGUUACACCGUUAAGAAAUGUAGCGUAUAGGUGUGGUUUUCAGUUUGUGCUACUUAUCAAAGUCCCUUUGAUAGGGGCCACAUUCCCGAGAGGGUGCGAGACCUGUGCGGAUAGUGGAGCAAGCUGUACGAUCAUACCUUGGAGUCGGGUUGCUUGAAAGUGCAGCCUAAAGUGGGUGAUAAACUUCAUCUAAGGCUAAAUAUAGACGCGAAUUCGAUAGCAAACAAGUACUGUGAAGGAAAGUUGCAAGAACUUUGAAGAGAGUUCAAGAGAACGUGAAAUCGCUGGAGUGGAAACGGAGAGUUGACGUAGUCCGGUGACUAAGUUUGCCGAAAUCGCUUAAUUGUGAUUAAGGUGAAUGUAUGUUGCCUAUGGCUGCGCUGACAGCACUGGUUGUACGUUCGAACCGUUUUCGUUGCCCAAUUUUCGAAUUGGUGUCUUGUUUACAGGUAGGUUUGUUAUGACUAGUGUUUUAUCCUGUUUUAUGCAGGGUGUCAGUGUGAAGGUCGACCACCUCUCCGACCCGUCUUGAAACACGGACCGAGGAGUGUAACUUGUACGCGAGUCAAAGGGUGGAAAACCCCAAGGCGCAAUGAAAGUAAAGGUCGGUUAACCGACUGACAUGGGAUCCGUUUCGUUUUGAAGCGGCGCACCAUGGCCCUGUCUUGUCUGCUUGCAGAUGGGCAGCGGUAGAGCGUACAGGUUGCGACCCGAAAGAUGGUGAACUAUGCCUGAGCAGGACGAAGUCAGAGGAAACUCUGGUGGAAGUCCGUAUCGGUUCUGACGUGCAAAUCGAUCGAUAGACUUGGGUAUAGGGGCGAAAGACUAAUCGAACCAUCUAGUAGCUGGUUCCUCCGAAGUUUCCCCCAGGAUAGCUGGAGUUCAUUGCGGUUAUAUCCGGUAAAGCGAAUGAUUAGAGGACUUGGGGUCGAAACGACCUCAACCUAUUCUCAAACUUUCAAUGGGUAUGUUGUCUCGGUUUCUUUGUUGAACUGUUGACACGAACGCGAACUCCAAGUGGGCCAUUUUUGGUAAGCAGAACUGGCGCUGUGGGAUGAACCAAACGUUGGGUUAAGGUGCCUAACUUUUCGCUCAUGAGACCCCAUAAAGGCGUUGGUUGAUAUAGACAGCAGGACGGUGGCCAUGGAAGUCGGUACCCGCUAAGGAGUGUGUAACAACUCACCUGCCGAAUCAACUAGCCCUGAAAAUGGAUGGCGCUUGAGCGAGAGACCUAUACCCAACCGUUGCUGGCUUGUGCGUGCCUGUCGCCUGGCUGCAACAGUAGGAGGUCGUGGCGGUUGCGUCGAAGGUUUUGGGCGUAGGCCCAACUGGAGCUUCCGUCAGUGCAGAUCUCGGUGGUAGUAGCAAAUAUUUAAGUUCGAUCCUUGAAGACUGAAGUGGAGAAGGGUUCCACGUGAACAGUAGUUGAAUGUGGGUCAGUCGAUCCUAAGAUACUGGCUUAUGCCUUGUAUCAUCGAGUCUCUUUUCUCUCGGAUAUCAAAAGGGAAUAGGGUUAAUAUUCCCUAACGCAGACACAGAGAUUGUGGCUCUUACGAGUCACUUGCGCGGUAACGCAUUCGAACUUGGUUACGUCGCUCAGAGACCGAGCUAGAGUUCUCUUCUCUAGUUAAGGAACGGACUCCCUGGAAUCAGUUCAGCCGUAGAUAGGGACGUUGUUUCCGUAAAGCAUCGCGGUUUCUGUGAUGUCUCGUGUUCUCUGGACGGCCCUUGAAAAACCAAGGGAGGCUAUUAAUCUGUGCUGCAUCGUACCGAUAUCAGCAUCAGGUCUCCAAGUAGGUGAGUGCUUAGUCCGUAACUUCGGGAAAAGUGGGUGACCGGGUCGGUUGGCUUGUUAACUGAUGCUUGUGCGGUUUCGUCCGUGGCUGGCUGAUACUAACGUUGAUGCUGGUUGACACUGAUGACUGCCUUGUGGACGUUUUCAGGUGUGUGCUUUGUCUUCGGACUUAGUAUCCUGAUCGACCAUCAAAACUGGUGACUGGAACACGGACUCAGGGAAUCGUUGUCUAAUUAAAACAGACUGACAGAUGGUCCUUGCGGAACGUAAUUUGAGAUGUUGUGUUUCUGAGCCCAGUGCUCUGAAUGUUAAAUCGUAGUAAUUCGAGUAAGCGCGGGUAAACUAUGACUCUCUUAAGGUAGCCAAAUGCCUCGUCAGCUAACUACUGACGCGCAUGAAUGGAUUAACGAGAUUUACUAGUGCAACUACUAGGCGAACGGGCCUUGGUGUAGCAGAAAAGAUAGCGAGUUGAAAGAAGAGGUGAUUUGCUUGGUUGAACGUCGAAAGAUCAUGAUUCUUGAGCAUGAGAUGGUGAGCUUCGGCUGACAGAAAGAUGGUGUUUCAUCGUUUUAGGACGAGUUCUGUAGACAGGCGACAUGAAACGGUCGUCAGUUUCGUAAGGAGAGAUGAAACCUUCGAGAAAGUGUCGAAAGCGAUUUCUGCGAUCUACUUUCUUAUGUAACAGUCAGGUGUCGUAAGUGGCUCUAUAUUUUUGCCAGAUCCUUGUCUGGUGAUGUCAGAAAUAUUAGACGAAACGAAAGCGUAGGACGAUGGGUUGUGGUCGAGUGGAAUCGCUCUUACCACGAAACGCUUGUCGCCGCGUUCAGCGUGCAACUCAUCGAGGUGAUUGAUUGAGCUGUCAGCGCUAUCAUUAAAGAU